RNAcentral lists this ribosomal RNA (462 nucleotides) under Pantoea sp. iCTE667. RNAcentral describes it as "bacterial SSU rRNA". It matches the Rfam family "Bacterial small subunit ribosomal RNA", at positions 8 to 468 of the family's 1533-position model. Lineage: Bacteria; Pseudomonadati; Pseudomonadota; Gammaproteobacteria; Enterobacterales; Erwiniaceae. The record is from RNAcentral.
AGAGUUUGAUCCUGGCUCAGAUUGAACGCUGGGGGCAGGCCUAACACAUACAAGUCGGACGGUAGCACAGAGAGCUUGCUCUUGGGUGACGAGUGGCGGACGGGUGAGUAAUGUCUGGGGAUCUGCCCGAUAGAGGGGGAUAACCACUGGAAACGGUGGCUAAUACCGCAUAACGUCGCAAGACCAAAGAGGGGGACCUUCGGGCCUCUCACUAUCGGAUGAACCCAGAUGGGAUUAGCUAGUAGGCGGGGUAAUGGCCCACCUAGGCGACGAUCCCUAGCUGGUCUGAGAGGAUGACCAGCCACACUGGAACUGAGACACGGUCCAGACUCCUACGGGAGGCAGCAGUGGGGAAUAUUGCACAAUGGGCGCAAGCCUGAUGCAGCCAUGCCGCGUGUAUGAAGAAGGCCUUCGGGUUGUAAAGUACUUUCAGCGGGGAGGAAGGCGAUGCGGUUAAUAACC